CCUACGGGAGGCAGCAGUGGGGGAUAUUGCACAAUGGGCGGAACCCUGAUGCAGCGACGCCGCGUGGGUGAAGAAGCGCCUCGGCGCGUAAAGCCCUUUCAGCAGGGAAGAAAAUGACAGUACCUAAAGAAUAAGCCCCGGCUAACUACGUGCCAGCAGCCGCGGUAAUACGUCGGGGGCACGCGUUAUCCGGAUUUACUGGGUGUAACGGGGGCGCAGACGGCUGUGCAAGUCAGGAGUGAAAGCCCUGGGCCCAACCCCGGGACUGCUCUGGGAACUGCGUGGCUGGAGUGCAGGAGGGGGAGGUGGAAGUCCUGGUGUAGCGGUGAAAUGCGUAGAUAUCAGGAGGAACACCGGUGGCGAAGGCGGCCCGCUGGACGGCAACUGACGUUGAGGUGCGAAAGCGUGGGGAGCAAACAGGAUUAGAUACCCCUGUAGUC
RNAcentral lists this ribosomal RNA (440 nucleotides) under uncultured bacterium. Its description in RNAcentral is "partial 16S ribosomal RNA". It matches the Rfam family "Bacterial small subunit ribosomal RNA", at positions 338 to 795 of the family's 1533-position model. The record is from RNAcentral.